UUCAGUGCAGUUACCAAUAUGUCUUCCUUCAAAAAAGUCGUACACUGAUCCUCCAAAAAAGUCGUACACUGAUCCUCAUAUUUCCUGUUAUUGGAUGUGAUCAGCAGACUACGAAUUUUCUUCGGAGUUAGUAUUUCGGAUCGUUAUUUACCGUAAAAAAAUUGUCCUUGUCAUAAAGCGCUUCGUAAUAUGCUAUCGUAGUAUUUUAUAACAUGAUACUUAGGUUGACGGUCCGGUAGUUGGCCUUUCUAAUGCGUUUACCAAUAUGUCUCCCUUCAAAGAAGUCGUACGCUGAUCCUCAUAUUUCCUGUUAUUGGAAGGGAUCAGUAGAGGAUAAAAAUUCGUCAUAAUUAGUAUUUCAGAUCAAUUUUAGCGAAAAAAACUUGUCCAUGUCAUUUAGCGCUUUGUGAUAUCCUAUUGUAGUAUCUUAUAUAAAGACACUUAUAUCGAAGGUCAAGUGUUUAAUCUAUUAUGACACCUAAAUUGACGGUCCGGUAGUUGGCCUGUUUAAUGAGUUUGCCAAUAUAUCUCCUUUUAAAGAAUUCGUACGCUGAUCCUCAUAUUUCCUGUUAUUGGAAGGGAUCAGCAGACUACGAAUAUUCUUCGAAAUUAGUAUUUCGGAUUAUUCUUUACCGUAAAAAAAUUGUCCAUGUCAUUUAUCGCUUCGUGAUAUGCUAUCGUAGUAUUUUAUAACAUAAUACUUAGGUUGACGGUCCGGUAGUUGGCCUUCGUGUAAAUUUUGUAUAGUUUAUAUUUUAUUAACAGAUAGUUCUAAGUAAUUUAAUUCGAGAAGCUUAAGGUUUUUGAUUNAUAUGCUAUCGUAGUAUUUUAUAACAUGAUACUUAGGUUGACGGUAAUAGUAGACUGUUUCGAGAAAAUAAUAAAAUAAUUAUGAUUGUGGUCGAUGGGUCUUGCAUCUCAACAAGUGUUUAACUUUAAAGAAACUCUGAAAAUGUUUACACAAUGUUUUACACAAUACGAUAUGCAACACUUACAAAAAAUAAAAAGAAUGAUACUGAAAUCGUAUGAUUAUUUAAAGCUCCAUACACUCAAAGAAAAAAAAAAAAAACUUUAGUAGCCAUAAAGAAAUAAGACAAUAAGAAUAUGAGAAAUAGCGAUAAAGAAAAAAGAAGGAGAAACGCAGGGAGAAGAUUAAUUAAUGAGAUCUCCCGGGAUUGACUAAAAUAAUAAUAAUAAUAAGAAAAUGUAAGUUAUCUCUUAAUUAUGAUGUAUACCAUUCCAAACAUAAGUAUAGUUCCUCAUUUAAUAGUAUUCCUAUAUUAUAAUUUUUAGUAGUAUAAGUUUGUAUUUCUGUCAUGUAAAUUUUAAAACCUAGUAAUCUUACUAUUACCUAUGUCAUCUGUUAUAUAAACGCUAACAGAUUGUUAUUUUAUUUACUUAAGUUUAGAUGAUUAACUUCAGGAAAACUUUAUUAAUAAAAAAAAAAAAUUAGUAUUAUUAUUAUUUAAUUAUUAUUUUAAUUAAAAAUCCUUAAUAUACUUUCAGAAUUAUAUACCUUAUACUAAACAUUAUAAUUAAAACAUGUAUUACCUUACAAUAUAUAACAACACAUUAUUAAUGUAUUUUUACUAACCACUAUAAAAUAUAAAAUUAUAAUCAAAUCUAUUAUUAUUGUAUAUAAAUUGUCAUGCUUUAUUGCGUUAUUAUUGUAUUAUAAUAUUUCAUGACGAAAUAUGUAAAUCCUGCAGACACG
Non-coding RNA from Cinara cedri, 1714 nucleotides. Lineage: Eukaryota; Metazoa; Arthropoda; Insecta; Hemiptera; Aphididae. The record is from the annotation of a GenBank genome assembly.